UAGGAUUUGUUUACAUUGAACAUAUUAGUAAGUGUUACGACAAACGCACAAACGAAAACGAAAUAACGAACACAAAAUUAUCAAAUCAUAAGCAGAAAUGAAAGAAUACACAGAUUUACGUGAAAAAUCUUUUGCAGGAAAAAAACCACGGACGAGGGAGGAGAGAACAUCACUAUCGAAACAAAAGGGAAUAUAAUGUUCUUCAGAUUACAACUAACCACGAUCACACGCCUCUAGGGCAAAAACGAAGAGAAAAAAUUCAUAACGAAUUUCGGAUCCGAUCCGUACCGCGGGGGCCUCCGCCCCCCGCACCCUCGCACCCCCUGACGAAUGUCAGUGGUGGGCUACGGGCUCGGGCUUGACGGCCCGAGCCCUUCGCUAUCCAGCACAGACAUUUAUUUUCCCUUCACAAUUUAAUUUCUCAAUUUGGUCGCACCGCAAAGCUGUUGGCGAGUCAUAAAUCCAACGAAAUAGAUUUUGAGUCAUAUCUAACAGUAAGUAUUAUUAGUCCUU
RNAcentral lists this long non-coding RNA (513 nucleotides) under Ananas comosus (pineapple). Its description in RNAcentral is "long non-coding RNA (ACOM_LNC041651)". Lineage: Eukaryota; Viridiplantae; Streptophyta; Magnoliopsida; Poales; Bromeliaceae. The record is from RNAcentral.